RNAcentral lists this long non-coding RNA (275 nucleotides) under Elaeis guineensis (African oil palm). RNAcentral's name for it is "long non-coding RNA (EGUI_LNC033347)". The record is from RNAcentral. Lineage: Eukaryota; Viridiplantae; Streptophyta; Magnoliopsida; Arecales; Arecaceae.
ACCGAAGAUUAUUACCAGCUCAAAGAGAAAAUUGAGCAUUUGAUCUGAGAAGGGAGGCUGGAUCGAUUCAUCCGACGAUAAGGUCCUCCAUGCCGAUAUCCUCCAAUGACUAGACAGCAGCAGCGGAGACGUCCUACGCUUCAGUAGCGACAACACCAGCCCCCUCUACCUCAACCUCAAUUGGCUCCAAUGCAACCACAAGCGGAGGGGCAGAUGGUAGCAGAAGAUCGACCCCUGUGGGGUGAAAUUCAUAUGAUAGCUUGGGGGUCGUCUGG